CAAUAGCGUAUAUUAAAGUUGUUGCAGUUAAAAAGCUCGUAGUUGGAUUUCUGGUGGGAGCGAUCGGUCUGGCGCUUAGCGCGAGUACUUGCAUCGUCUCCGGCCAUCCUUGGGGAGAGUCUGUCUGGCAUUAAGAUGUCGGGCAGAGGAUCCUCAUCGUUUACUGUGAAAAAAUUAGAGUGUUCAAAGCAGGCUUAUGCCGUUGAAUAUAUUAGCAUGGAAUAAUAAGAUAGGACUUUGGUACUAUUUUGUUGGUUUGCGCACCAAAGUAAUGAUUAAUAGGGACAGUUGGGGGUAUUCGUAUUCCGUUGUCAGAGGUGAAAUUCUUGGAUUUACGGAAGACGAACUACUGCGAAAGCAUUUACCAAGGAUGUUUUCAUUAA
This 383-nucleotide ribosomal RNA is filed under the name uncultured eukaryote. RNAcentral describes it as "partial 18S ribosomal RNA". It matches the Rfam family "Eukaryotic small subunit ribosomal RNA", at positions 592 to 976 of the family's 1831-position model. The record is from RNAcentral.